CCGCAGUAGCCACCUCACAAAAACUCAAGUUUAAAUCUAAUUAAUUUUUUUAUUGCUAGAAAAAAAAAUGGUUUUUGGUUGAUUUGGUUCCACUGAGUUCGACAUUCCCGACGACUUUCAGACGUUUCCCAGUGAUGAUCGGCCCUGCAACCACCACUAUUCGAAUCAGCAGACUCCUAACAACAAAAUUUGAGCUUUGCAUGCUUGAAUCUACCCCUAAAUCGAAGAUUUCCAUAAACCCAGCUCACGGUGGCGUUUUCCAACGAGGAUCCGAGUUUUCUCCGAUCGAUUUCAGGCUUUCCGACAUUUUUUGGGUUAGUACAAGUUGAGAAAACUUAACAGUCGCAACCUUCAAUAUGUAUUUUGAAGAAGCUUUCAAAUUGAAAUAUGUGUUGGAAGAAUUCUUAAAGCUUCGUCGUGGGCAACGAAAACCCACAAUUUUGGGUCCAAGGGAGGAUAUUUCUUUUCCGACUUCUCUUUUAUUUAUUAAUAUUUAUUUUUUGUCAUUUCUAAAUGAUUCUCACCCCUUUUUUUUUUUGCAGUUUUCUGUGGAGGUUUAUUUGAACAUGGGAAAUCAAGAGUUGCUGCUCACAGAAAAGCUGAUGCAAGGAUCAGAACAUUUGCACACAUUACAGUCACCAUGGCAUUUGCAAAUUUGGGCCAGCUUGUAAAUUUGACCACCCGUUACAUAUAUCAUCUUCACCUACAUCUGGUCCUGAUCAUCAACUUCCUUUCAGUGAUUCGGC
Long non-coding RNA from Pyrus x bretschneideri (Chinese white pear), 746 nucleotides. RefSeq lists it as uncharacterized. The transcript has 3 exons. NCBI's taxonomy places the organism in Eukaryota, Viridiplantae, Streptophyta, Magnoliopsida, Rosales, Rosaceae. The record is from RefSeq and is a predicted model, not a curated record.